UAGAGUUUGAUCCUGGCUCAGGAUGAACGCUAGCGGGAGGCCUAACACAUGCAAGCCGAGCGGUAUUUAUUUUUCGGAAUAGAGAGAANCGGCGUACGGGUGCGUAACACGUGUGCAACCUGCCCUUAUCAGGGGGAUAGCCUUUCGAAAGGAAGAUUAACACCCCAUAAUAUAUUUUCGGGCAUCUGGAGAUAUUAAAAACUACGGUGGAUAAGGAUGGGCACGCGGAAGAUUAGAUAGCUGGUGAGGUAACGGCUCACCAAGUCGAUGACCUUUAGGGGGCCUGAGAGGGUGAUCCCCCACACUGGUACUGAGACACGGACCAGACUCCUACGGGAGGCAGCAGUGAGGAAUAUUGGACAAUGGGUGAGAGCCUGAUCCAGCCAUCCCGCGUGCAGGAAGACGGCCCUAUGGGUUGUAAACUGCUUUUAUCUAGGAAUAAACCUACUUACGAGUAAGUAGCUGAAGGUACUAGAAGAAUAAGCACCGGCUAACUCCGUGCCAGCAGCCGCGGUAAUACGGAGGGUGCGAGCGUUAUCCGGAUUUAUUGGGUUUAAAGGGUUCGUAGGCGGGCUCGUAAGUCAGUGGUGAAAUCCGACAGCUUAACUGUCGAACUGCCGUUGAAACUGCGGGUCUUGAGUAAGGUAGAAGUAGCUGGAAUAAGUAGUGUAGCGGUGAAAUGCAUAGAUAUUACUUAGAACACCAAUUGCGAAGGCAGGUUACUAUGUCUUAACUGACGCUGAUGGACGAAAGCGUGGGUAGCGAACAGGAUUAGAUACCCUGGUAGUCCACGCCGUAAACGAUGCUAACUCGUUUUUGGGCUUUAGGGUUCGGAGACUAAGCGAAAGUGAUAAGUUAGCCACCUGGGGAGUACGUUCGCAAGAAUGAAACUCAAAGGAAUUGACGG
Molecule: ribosomal RNA, 907 nt
Filed under: uncultured bacterium
Lineage: Bacteria
Description: bacterial SSU rRNA
Rfam family: Bacterial small subunit ribosomal RNA
Source: RNAcentral